CUUAGUAGCGUAUUUGUUGCUCCUGCUGAGACCUGUGGCGGCACAAGCAGCUGAGGAGGACCGCUCUGAGAUCUACAGUAGAAUCAACAAACCCAGAACCAAGAAGACCUGAACACAACAAAC
RNAcentral lists this long non-coding RNA (123 nucleotides) under Salmo trutta (river trout). RNAcentral's name for it is "lncRNA (ENSSTUG00000042137.1)". Lineage: Eukaryota; Metazoa; Chordata; Actinopteri; Salmoniformes; Salmonidae. The record is from RNAcentral.